RNAcentral lists this ribosomal RNA (401 nucleotides) under uncultured soil bacterium. RNAcentral describes it as "bacterial SSU rRNA". It matches the Rfam family "Bacterial small subunit ribosomal RNA", at positions 26 to 427 of the family's 1533-position model. The record is from RNAcentral.
AGAUUGAACGCUGGCGGCAGGCCUAACACAUGCAAGUCGAGCGGUAGAGAGGUGCUUGCACCUCUUGAGAGCGGCGGACGGGUGAGUAAUGCCUAGGAAUCUGCCUAGUGGUGGGGGAUAACGUUCGGAAACGGACGCUAAUACCGCAUACGUCCUACGGGAGAAAGCGGGGGACCUUCGGGCCUCGCGCCAUUAGAUGAGCCUAGGUCGGAUUAGCUAGUUGGUGAGGUAAUGGCUCACCAAGGCGACGAUCCGUAACUGGUCUGGGAGGAUGAUCAGUCACACUGGAACUGAGACACGGUCCAGACUCCGUAGGGAGCAGCAGUGGGAAUAUUGGACAAGUGGACUAAAGCCUGACUCCAGCCAUCGCCGCGUGUGUGGAAGAGGUCUUACGGAUUAGG